RNAcentral lists this ribosomal RNA (155 nucleotides) under Priestia aryabhattai. RNAcentral's name for it is "Bacillus aryabhattai partial 23S ribosomal RNA". It matches the Rfam family "Bacterial large subunit ribosomal RNA", at positions 1 to 153 of the family's 2925-position model. The record is from RNAcentral. Lineage: Bacteria; Bacillati; Bacillota; Bacilli; Caryophanales; Bacillaceae.
AUGGUUAAGUUAGAAAGGGCGCUCGGUGUAUGCCUUGGCAAUAGGAUCCGAUGAAGUACGGGACUAACACCGAUAUGCUUCGGGGAGCUGUAAGUGAGCUUUGAUCCGGAGAUUUCCGAAUGGGGAAACCCUCUGUUCGUAAUGGAACAGUAUCU